RNAcentral lists this ribosomal RNA (407 nucleotides) under uncultured bacterium. RNAcentral describes it as "bacterial SSU rRNA". It matches the Rfam family "Bacterial small subunit ribosomal RNA", at positions 405 to 812 of the family's 1533-position model. The record is from RNAcentral.
AGGAAGACUGCCCUAUGGGUUGUAAACUGCUUUUAUAGAGGAAGAAACCCCCCGACGUGUCGGGUCUGACGGUACUCUACGAAUAAGGAUCGGCUAACUCCGUGCCAGCAGCCGCGGUAAUACGGAGGAUCCAAGCGUUAUCCGGAAUCAUUGGGUUUAAAGGGUCCGUAGCGGAUUUGUAAGUCAGUGGUGAAAGUUUGCGGCUCAACCGUAAAAUUGCCAUUGAUACUGCAAGUCUUGAAUCAUUGUGAAGUGGUUAGAAUAUGUAGUGUAGCGGUGAAAUGCAUAGAUAUUACAUAGAAUACCGAUUGCGAAGGAGAUCACUAACAAUGUAUUGACGCUAAGGGACGAAAGCGUGGGUAGCGAACAGGAUUAGAUACCCUGGUAGUCCACGCCGUAAACGAUGG